This 497-nucleotide ribosomal RNA is filed under the name uncultured bacterium. RNAcentral describes it as "partial 16S ribosomal RNA". It matches the Rfam family "Bacterial small subunit ribosomal RNA", at positions 28 to 507 of the family's 1533-position model. The record is from RNAcentral.
GAUGAACGCUGGCGGCGUACCUAAUACAUGCAAGUCGAGCGAACAGACGAGGAGCUUGCUCCUCUGACGUUAGCGGCGGACGGGUGAGUAACACGUGGAUAACCUACCUAUAAGACUGGGAUAACUUCGGGAAACCGGAGCUAAUACCGGAUAAUAUAUUGAACCGCAUGGUUCAAUAGUGAAAGACGGUUUUGCUGUCACUUAUAGAUGGAUCCGCGCCGCAUUAGCUAGUUGGUAAGGUAACGGCUUACCAAGGCAACGAUGCGUAGCCGACCUGAGAGGGUGAUCGGCCACACUGGAACUGAGACACGGUCCAGACUCCUACGGGAGGCAGCAGUAGGGAAUCUUCCGCAAUGGGCGAAAGUCUGACGGAGCAACGCCGCGUGAGUGAUGAAGGUCUUCGGAUCGUAAAACUCUGUUAUUAGGGAAGAACAAAUGUGUAAGUAACUAUGCACGUCUUGACGGUACCUAAUCAGAAAGCCACGGCUAACUACGUG